GAUCAUGGCUCAGGAUGAACGCUAGCUACAGGCUUAACACAUGCAAGUCGAGGGGAAACGAUAUUGGAAGCUUGCUUCCGAUAGGCGUCGACCGGCGCACGGGUGAGUAACGCGUAUCCAACCUGCCCACCACUUGGGGAUAACCUUGCGAAAGUAAGACUAAUACCCAAUGGCAUCCCACGAAGACAUCUGAAUGGGAUUAAAGAUUUAUCGGUGAUGGAUGGGGAUGCGU
Molecule: ribosomal RNA, 232 nt
Filed under: uncultured bacterium
Lineage: Bacteria
Description: partial 16S ribosomal RNA
Rfam family: Bacterial small subunit ribosomal RNA
Source: RNAcentral